Phalacrocorax carbo (great cormorant) is the source of this 874-nucleotide non-coding RNA. The record is from RefSeq and is a predicted model, not a curated record. NCBI's taxonomy places the organism in Eukaryota, Metazoa, Chordata, Aves, Suliformes, Phalacrocoracidae.
UGCUUGGGAAAGAAAGAAGCCUUUCCUACACGGAGGCGUUUAGUUCUUUGUUUCUGUAUCGACAAACAGAACGCCCUCCCUCUUUCACAAAAAAAGAGGUUUGGACAUAGAAGACCAAAAAGGGAAGGAUUUUAGCGCAGGUUUGCGGAGCAAGCAGCUGCUCAUUUGUUUUGUCAGUAAUGGAAAGAAGACUUGAACAGCUGAUGACAGGAUGGCCAUCUUAGUUACUUGGCUGUGAUCCUUUUCUCCAUCAGGAAAUACAGAAAACUCCCUAGGCAUGUGUGACCUGGACAUAAAAGAUAGUAUAACUAUGAUGAAAAUUGUUCUGAAUAUACCUUUUUAGAAAGGAGCUCUGGAGUUUUCACAUAAGAAAAGGUGUGCAUGUAGAGCAGGAAAGCUGCUGGCUUCAUUUUCUGUAGUUGCUCAUCUCUCUCAGUAACACAAUGGUUAGUUUUAGCCACUGUGGCUAUUAUCAUUUAGCAACAGAAUGUCUGUUUGGUGAUAUGUGCUACUGUACCUUUACAAAAUAAAAAUGUUAUCCUCUGUCCAAGAUGAUGCAAUAUUUGUUGCCCUUGGCUGUACUGUUUAUGACUUUACACCUCUGAGUCACUGUGUAUGUAUCCAGUCUACUUUACUUCUGAUGAAAAUGUGUACAUGAAUUUGGAUUUAGGAGAUAUCUUUAAAUACUAUCUUGGUGUGAUCUCAUUUGAAAUGGUCCUUACACACUUCUCCACUUGGCUGAAGAAACAACAGCAAAAGCUGUUGCUAAUUUUGUUUUUAAUUAAUUGUGCGGCAUGGAUUUGUUGACGUGCCAUGGAUAAGGGUCAACUAAAUAGAUUUGCCUUGGGUUAAUAGAAGUUUUCCAUCUUGUCUG